This 468-nucleotide ribosomal RNA is filed under the name uncultured bacterium. RNAcentral's name for it is "partial 16S ribosomal RNA". It matches the Rfam family "Bacterial small subunit ribosomal RNA", at positions 28 to 507 of the family's 1533-position model. The record is from RNAcentral.
GACGAACGCUGGCGGCGUGCUUAACACAUGCAAGUCGAACGGAAAGGCCCUGCUUUUGUGGGGUGCUCGAGUGGCGAACGGGUGAGUAACACGUGAGUAACCUGCCCUUGACUUUGGGAUAACUUCAGGAAACUGGGGCUAAUACCGGAUAGGAGCUCCUGCUGCAUGGUGGGGGUUGGAAAGUUUCGGCGGUUGGGGAUGGACUCGCGGCUUAUCAGCUUGUUGGUGGGGUAGUGGCUUACCAAGGCUUUGACGGGUAGCCGGCCUGAGAGGGUGACCGGCCACAUUGGGACUGGGAUACGGCCCAGACUCCUACGGGAGGCAGCAGUGGGGAAUAUUGCACUAUGGGCGGAAGCCUGAUGCAGCAACGCCGCGUGCGGGAUGACGGCCUUCGGGUUGUAAACCGCUUUCGCCUGUGACGAAGCGUGAGUGACGGUAAUGGGUAAAGAAGCACCGGCUAACUACGUG